GGUCAAGCUAUAAAGAGCAAAGGGAGAAUGCCUUGGCGCCAGGAGCCGACGAAGGACGUGGCAAGCUGCGAAAAGCUGCGGGGAAUUGCACACAAGUAUCGAUCCGCAGAUGUCCGAAUGGGGAAACCCGGCAGAGCAAACCUCUGUCAGCGUAUGCUGAAUAAAUAGGUAUACGUGGGGAAACGCUGUGAACUGAAACAUCUAAGUAGCAGCAGGAAGAGAAAAUAACAAUGAUUCCGGGAGUAGCGGCGAGCGAAACCGGAAAAGGCCAAACUCAAGAACUUCGGUUCUUGGGGGUUGCGGACUGCAUAAUUGAUUGCAAGUUGAUAGUAGAACGGUUUUGGGAAAGCCGGCCAAAGAGGGUGAAAGCCCCGUAAACGAAAUUGACGAGCACAUGGCAGAAUCCAGAGUAAGGCGGGACACGAGAAACCCUGCCUGAAGCCGGGGGGACCACCCCCCAAGCCUAAAUACUACCUGGCGACCGAUAGAGAAUAGUACUGUGAAGGAAAGGUGAAAAGAACCCCGGGAGGGGAGUGAAAGAGAACCUGAAACCCUUUGUUUACACACAGCGGAAGCGAGAGCAACCGCGUACUUUUUGUAGAACGGUCCGGCGAGUUACUGUUAAUAGCGAGGUUAAGUGGUCAGAAGCCACGCAGCCGAAGGGAAACCAAGUCUGAAAAGGGCGUCUAGUUAUUAAAAGUAGACCCGAAACCGGGUGACCUAUCCAUGUCCAGGUUGAAGUUACCGUAAAAGGUAAUGGAGGACCGAACACACAUCUGUUGAAAAAGGUGGUGAUGAGGUGUGGAUAGCGGAGAAAUUCCAAUCGAACCCGGAGAUAGCUGGUUCUCCUCGAAAUAGCUUUAGGGCUAGCCUCGGGAGGAGUCUGGUGGAGGUAAAGCACUGAACUGGCAAGGGGCCCCAAAAGGUUACCGACCCAAAUCAAACUAAGAAUGCCACUAAGAUACCCCCGGGAGUCAGACUAUGUGAGAUAAGUUUCAUGGUCAAAAGGGAAAGAGCCCAGACCAACAGCUAAGGCCCCCAAGUACGUGUUAAGUGGAAAAGGAUGUGGGAUUUCACAGACAACCAGGAUGUUGGCUUAGAAGCAGCCAUACAUUUAAAGAGUGCGUAACAGCUCACUGGUCGAGAGAACCUGCGCCGAAAAUGUCCGGGGCUAAAACACGUCGCCGAAGCUAUGGCUCUGCACCAAAAGGUGCAGAAGGUAGAGGAGCAUCCUGUGAGGACGAAGCCGAAUUGAAAGAGACGGUGGACGAAACAGGAGAGAGAAUGCCGGAAUGAGUAGCGAGAUAAAUGUGAGAAACAUUUAGGCCGAAUGCCUAAGGUUUCCAGGGUAAAGCUAAUCUACCCUGGGUAAGUCGGGUCCUAAGGCGAGGACGAGAGUCGUAGUCGAUGGAUAACAGGUAGAAAUUCCUGUACUGCGUAUAAACAGAACUGUAGGGACGCAGGAGGAUAAGCGAACCGGGGAAAGGGAAUACCCGGGUAAGGUCAAAGUCAAGAUAGGCAGGCAAAUCCGUCUAUUGAUGAUGAAGGCUGAUACGGACUGAAUAUUAGUAGGGAAGUCGCCGAAUCCACACUGCCAAGAAAAGCUGCUAUUGUUUUAUACGUACCCGUACCGUAAACCGACACAGGUGGGCGAGGAGAAAAUCCACAGGCCGGCGGGAGAAGUGUUGUUAAGGAACUCGGCAAAAUGACCCCGUAACUUAGGGAGAAGGGGAUCCAUUGUUGAAUGGACACAGAGAAGAGGCCCAAGCGACUGUUUAUCAAAAACACAGGUUUCUGCUAAACCGUAAGGUGAAGUAUAGGAGCUGACGCCUGCCCGGUGCUGGAAGGUCAAAGGGAGAGGUUAGGAGUUUACUCCGAAGCUUUGAACUCAAGCCCCAGUAAACGGCGGCCGUAACUAUAACGGUCCUAAGGUAGCGAAAUUCCUUGUCAGGUAAGUUCUGACCCGCACGAAAGGCGUAACGAUUUGGGCGCUGUCUCGACAACACACCCGGUGAAAUUGAAAAGCCAGUGAAGAUACUGGCGACCUGCAACAGGACGGAAAGACCCCAUGGAGCUUUACUGCAGCUUAAUAUUGGGAUUCGGUAUUGCAUGUACAGGAUAGGUGGGAGGCUGAGAAAUAUGUACGCUAGUAUGUAUGGAGCCGACGUUGGGAUACCACUCUUGUAAUACUGGGUUUCUAACCAGUAGCCGUGACCCGGUUAUGGGACAUUGUUAGGCGGGCAGUUUGACUGGGGCGGUCGCCUCCGAAAGAGUAACGGAGGCGCUCAAAGGUAACCUCAGAAUGAUUGGAAACCAUUCAAAGAGUGUAAAGGCAGAAGGUUGCUUAACUGCGAGGUGGACACACCGAGCAGAUACGAAAGUAGGACUUAGUGAUCUGGUGGUAACAAGUGGGAGUGCCAUCACUUAACGGAUAAAAGCUACCCUGGGGAUAACAGGCUUAUCUCCCCCAAGAGUUCACAUCGACGGGGAGGUUUGGCACCUCGAUGUCGGCUCAUCGCAUCCUGGGGCUGAAGAAGGUCCCAAGGGUUGGGCUGUUCGCCCAUUAAAGCGGUACGCGAGCUGGGUUCAGAACGUCGUGAGACAGUUCGGUCCCUAUCCGUUGCAGGCGGAGGAUUUUUGAGAGGAGCUGCCCUUAGUACGAGAGGACCGGGGUGGACGAACCGCUGGUGUAUCUGUUGGAAACCAAUUCCACGGCAGAGUAGCCAAGUUCGGAACGGAUAAACGCUGAAGGCAUCUAAGCGUGAAGCCGCCCUCAAGAUAAGAAAUCCCACAGCAAAAGCUGGUAAGGCCCCUUGAAGACUACAAGGUAGAUAGGCUGGAGGUGUAAGCACGGUAACGUGUUCAGCUGACCAGUACUAAUAGGCCGAGGGCUUGUCCUA
RNAcentral lists this ribosomal RNA (2900 nucleotides) under Tyzzerella sp. OttesenSCG-928-J15. RNAcentral's name for it is "23S ribosomal RNA". It matches the Rfam family "Bacterial large subunit ribosomal RNA". Lineage: Bacteria; Bacillati; Bacillota; Clostridia; Lachnospirales; Lachnospiraceae. The record is from RNAcentral.